GUGGCUGUGGCUCAGAGGUAGAGCGCUCGCCUGCCAUGCAUGUGGCACUGGGUUCGAUCCUCAGCACCACA
Ictidomys tridecemlineatus (thirteen-lined ground squirrel) is the source of this 71-nucleotide non-coding RNA. NCBI's taxonomy places the organism in Eukaryota, Metazoa, Chordata, Mammalia, Rodentia, Sciuridae. The record is from Rfam.